This 1219-nucleotide long non-coding RNA is filed under the name Parus major (Great Tit). RNAcentral's name for it is "lncRNA (ENSPMJG00000005287.1)". The record is from RNAcentral. Lineage: Eukaryota; Metazoa; Chordata; Aves; Passeriformes; Paridae.
CCCUGAGCACAUUUUGCACUCAGAUUAAUAACCACUUUAUCAUCACAAGCCUUCCUGGGGCUGCCCAUUUAGGGUUUUUGUUUUGGUUUGGUUUUGUUUCUUUCAUAAAACAGGGUCAGCAUGGUUCUCUCUAGCAUUUGUAAAGAAGUACAUGAAUGAUCUGUCCCCUUUAUUCAGAUCAUUCAUUUCACAUUUGGAAGCUGGCCUUAUUUUCAGUAAUCAGGCUGGUACAUAGAAGCUGGCUGGUGUAAGUGGUCUGGUUGGGGAUUUUUCUGGUUUUGGUUGUUUUUUUCAGUAUGUGAUUCCAGGCGGGUCGAGGGGAGCUGGGGUUUGCUUGCAGUCAGUGCUCAGGAGUGCCAUCAGAAGGAGAUCUCCGGCAGCGCUUGCGCUGUUUCCAUAUCACAAACUGGGAGCGCAACCCACGGCGCUGGGCUCGGUGUGAGGCUCCUGAGAUGAGUGUGUGCAGAGACCUGGGUUAGCUGCCUCUCGCCACUGCAGGGGGCUCCCAGCUGCUGGAUAGCCUCUCCUCCUCUCCUGCCUUCACUGCUAACUCUGCUGGGGCCAAGUCAAGCUGCCCAACUUCUCAACGGUGGAGAGUGCCAGCAUGAGCAACGAGGGGCCAGAGAAUCCCAUCGCAUCUACACUGACCGAGGGCAUGAAGAGGAAGAGGGGGAGACCAAAGAAGAAGCCACAGGAGGAUGGUGGAAACACAGCUGUUAUCCCACAGGAUGGUGUGGAACCACAGCCAGUGAAGAAACCACGAGGAAGGCCAAAAGGAAGCAAGAAACUGACUACUAUAACUGGGGGAAUGAAAGAUCCUUCUGCUGGGAAAAGGCCAAGAGGGAGACCCCGCAAGUGGCCUCAAGCAGUGGUCCAAGAAGGAGAAUCUGAGGGUGGGAAUCCUCUGGAAAGCAGUGACUCGAAUUUGAACUCUGCACCAGCCACACAAGGUUUGAAAUUAAAUAAUUAUAAUUACACGAGACUAAACAGUGGAGCCAGCGCUCUGGCCAACCAUGCACAAGGCUCUAGCACUGGCUGCAAUCGUUCUGGUAAAUCCCAUAAACAGAGGAGCAUUUGGAAAGUUUUUCUUCCAUCUAAUUCAGUUGUGACUGCUUCAGCAGAAGUGGAGGUAGGAAAAAAGAAGAAAAUCUGUCUGUCUGUCUUUCCAAGAAGUCACACAUCUGAGGUUCUGGUUGCUGGUAGAGGUACAGCUCAGUGA